GACGAACGCUGGCGGCGUGCUUAACACAUGCAAGUCGAACGCUGAAGCUUGGUGCUUGCACUGGGUGGAUGAGUGGCGAACGGGUGAGUAAUACGUGAGUAACCUGCCCUUGACUCUGGGAUAAGCCUGGGAAACUGGGUCUAAUACUGGAUACGACAUGUCACCGCAUGGUGGUGUGUGGAAAGGGUUUUACUGGUUUUGGAUGGGCUCACGGCCUAUCAGCUUGUUGGUGGGGUAAUGGCGCACCAAGGCGACGACGGGUAGCCGGCCUGAGAGGGUGACCGGCCACACUGGGACUGAGCAACGGCCCAGACUCCUACGGGAGGCAGCAGUGGGGAAUUUUGCACAAUGGGCGGAAGCCUGAUGCAGCGACGCCGCGUGAGGGAUGACGGCCUUCGGGUUGUAAACCUCUUUCAGCACGGAAGAAGCGAAAGUGGCGGUACGUGCAGAAGAAGCGCCGGCUAACUACGUG
RNAcentral lists this ribosomal RNA (472 nucleotides) under uncultured bacterium. Its description in RNAcentral is "partial 16S ribosomal RNA". It matches the Rfam family "Bacterial small subunit ribosomal RNA", at positions 28 to 507 of the family's 1533-position model. The record is from RNAcentral.